UCUUUCAGUUUUCAUUCUCGCGAGCGUAAGUAAAGUGCGCAGUUGUAUGACAAAAACGGAAAUAAUAGAAAUUCUUCAGGUUUACAGCUCUAAAAUUAUUUAAAACGCAAUAAACAUUAAGAUUAAAUGUGAUCGCACAACUGAGUGGUGAAUUCGGUAACAAAUUUUAAGUUUAAAUGGUAGAUUUCGCAUAUUUCUCGUGAGUGACGCCACUUUUCACAUGGCAGCACACUUUGCAAUGCAGGAACCGUUACUUUUCUUUUGUGCGCGUGCUUCGUAAGUGCGCACUUGUUCGAUCUCUGUGUAUUUGUUGUUUUAACAUAACCUUACCUAACAGAACGGUUAAAAGAUAAAUUGUAAAUUUGUAUACACAUGCAUAUGAAACUCCUCGUGUUUUCGGCUUUAAAAUUGUUUAAAACGCAAUAAAGAUUUAUAUUAAAUGUGAUCGCACAAGUGCGUGGUGAAUUCGGUAUCGAAUUUUAAGUUUAAAUGGUAGAUUUCGCAUAUUUUUCGUGAGUGACGCUUCUUUUCACAUGGCAGCAAACUUUGCAAUGCAGGAACCGUUACUUUUCUUUUGUGCGCGUGUUUCGUAAGUGCGCGUGUUUCGAUCUCCGUGGAUUUGUUGUCUUAACCUAAUCUAUCUUAACCUAACGAUAAACUUAUGCAAUUCAACCAUUCUGUGCAGCGGGUCCCUCGGUCCUUUUGGACAUUCAGUGCAGAGGCGCGUUGGCAACCGCCUGCUACCUUGCCAGGACCUUCCGCCACCGCCAACAACAAGCGAGCAGGCGAACAACGGCAGCAUCCAGGGCAGCCAUCAAAAAAGGCUUUCAAUGGUAGACGAGGUCCUGCCACUGCCACCACCCACUUGCCUCGCCACUCCACUCCACUCCAUCACCCCAUCACCCCAUCACCCCAUCACCCUUCCCGCCCCGCCGCCUCCUCGUCGACCUCCGCGAACUCGCCAUCCUGCAAAGUCUACAUCCGAAGUCCUGUUGUCCGUUUUCCCGUUGCCAUGUUGGACGGCAAUGGCGAUAUUUGCUUUCCUUUCCGCCAUGAAACGGAAUGAAAUGCGAGGAGGCGGGAUGGUCAGGGGGUGGCAAAAAGGGGCUGGUAAAGGGGUUGGCCGGACUGGCCUGCGAAAUGUGGGUGGGCCGCGCACAUGGGGUGGAUAUUUCGCCAUUAUUGUAGCAAUUUUGAUCAAUGGCCCUAUAUUCCCGGCAAGCGCUGUCCGCCAACCCGAAAAGGACGAAGCAAAGGACCUACGACCUGCACACACAGCAUCCAAAUUAUUCGAGGCUUCUCGACUUUUUUCCCAGUGCCACAUGUUUCAUGACUGCCCAAGAUGUUGCCGAACUUUCGGCCAAGUGGCUUUGGGCCCGGCUUUUAGCCAGCGAGUGCAUGUAAAUGAGCGGCGAUGCGGACUGUGAGCUAGGCUUGCAUCUGAAUCUGAAUCUGAAGUUGCAACUGUCGAAUGUUCGAUGAUGAUCGCCGAUGACGCUGAUGUCUAUAAUGAUGAUUAUGAUCAUCCACCAUGAGUUGAUGAUGAUGGUGGUGGUGGUGGUGAUGAUGGCGACGUUAUUGUGCCAAGGACAUUGCACCACUUGGGACGAGGAUACAUAUUAAAAAAAAUUCAAAUUGUAAAAUGAGGCGCAGACUUUGGGAUAUUCAAUAUUCGCGGGUACAGGAAGCGGCACAUGGAUUUCAAUGCAUCUGCAGCAUUGUGUCGUGGGAAUUGAAAAGCGCCCGAAUAAAUCAAAGUGCAGUGGCUACAGACACAGACACAGACACAGAUACAGAUACAUAAACGGAUGCAGAUACAGAUACACCAAAGAUACGAGUGCAUCAUUAGCGAGCGGAUGCAGGCAUCGCUGCUCCACUCGAAUCCCCGAAUGUAAGCCAAACCAAGUCGAGAUCCAAGGCGCCCGCAAUCCAGAAAUACCGAUGGGGGG
RNAcentral lists this long non-coding RNA (1949 nucleotides) under Drosophila melanogaster (fruit fly). RNAcentral's name for it is "long non-coding RNA:CR44357 (Dmel_CR44357)". Lineage: Eukaryota; Metazoa; Arthropoda; Insecta; Diptera; Drosophilidae. The record is from RNAcentral.